AUGGUUGAGACGGACAUGUCAGAACCAAAUGAAGACAUCGCCAAUCAAGAAUCUGAGAGCUUAGCGGUGGUCACAGAGGGAGAGCAGAAUGAGAAUAAUGGGCAGCAACCGGAUGCAUCGGAGAAUGCUAAGAAGGAAGUGGUGAUGCCCAAGAAAAGGAAAGAGAUGGAACCAAGAUCAGAGGUCUGGGAUAGUUUCACCAAGAUUGUAGAGGGAGAUGUUUUGAAGAGGGGCAAGUGCAACUACUGUAAACGUGAGCUUAAAUGUGAAACAAAAAUCAAUGGUACAUCUGCCCUAAAUUCUCAUUUAAAGAUAUGCAAGAAGAAUCCUAAUAGGAACAAAGAUGAUAAGCAGCCUACUUUGCAAGCUACACGAAAUGAAGGGGAUGGUAGCAAGUGUACACUUACUGCUUGGAGGUUUGAUCCUGAAAUGCUUAGGAAAGCUUUUGCUGAAAUGAUUAUUACAGAUGAGCUCCCUUUUGCAUUUUCUGAGAAAGAAGGGUUUAGAAAGUUUAUGUCCAAGGCAUGCCCACGUUUCAAUGUGCCGUCUAGGAGAACAACUACUAGGGAAGUUGUUAGCAUGUUCAAUGUGCAGAAACAAAAGCUGAAAAAAAUCUUUAAGGAAUCAUGCGAAAGAGUAUGCCUCACCACUGACACAUGGACUUCUGCCCAGAAGCAGAACUAUAUGUGUGUUACAGCACAUUUCAUUGAUGGUGACUGGAAGCUACAAAAGAAGAUAAUUGGGUUUUUCUUAGUGAAGGGACAUAGGGGGGAGGACAUUGGGAAGGACUUGGAGAGAUGCUUAGUAGAUUGGGGGCUUGAUAAAGUUUUCACAAUAACUGUUGACAAUGCUUCUGCUAAUGACGGUGCUAUAAAUUAUAUCAGGAGGGUUAUGAAUAAAGCCAAAAGUAGUAUUGCUGAAGGGAAGUAUUUUCACAUGAGAUGUGCUGCGCAUAUUAUAAACUUGGUGGUUACUGAUGGACUAAAGGAAAUCGACCUUUCAGUGGCACGUGUGCGAGCUGCUGUAAAGUUUGUGAAGAACUCCCCUGCUAGAAUUACAAGGUUUAAGAAAUGUGUUGAACUAGAGAAAGUUAAAAGUAAAGCCUUUUUGUCAUUGGAUGUGCCUACUAGAUGGAACUCAAUAUACCUUAUGUUGAGAGCUGCAGCAACGUAUGAGCAAGUUUUUUAUAGGUAUGCUGAUGAGGACCCGUACUAUGCACUUGAUUUAAAUGGUGAGAAAGGUCCGGGAGUUCCAGAAGCCGCAGAUUGGGAUAAUGCAAGAAAGAUGACAGAAUUUUUGGAACACUUCUACAAGCUUACUGUCCGUGUUUCCGCGUCGCUACACUGUACAGCUCACAUAUUUUUUCAUGAGAUAGCCGAUGUUAUCAUCUUGUUGUGGCAAUGGUGUGAAAGCGAAGAUUCUUUGCGUAAGGACAUGGCUAAGAGGAUGAUAGCUAAGUACAAUAAAUAUUGGGGGGAUCAUAAAAGCUUCAACAUCCUUAUUUUUAUUGCGGUUUCUCUUGAUCCAAGGUACAAGUUGUCAAAUUACAUAAAGAUAGCUAUUCUGGAGAUGUUUGGUGAGACCCAAGGGCAGGUAGUUUGGACUGAAAUAAGUAAGACGCUUCACGAGUUAUUUGAAGAAUAUGGAAAGAUAUAUGCUCCAAGUGAUAAAGUGCAGCCGUCCAAUGUAGCACAAGAACCUGAAGCCCGUGGCACAAGUUUAAGGAAGUCCUUGAUUGCUCAAAAGAUGAGGACGAGCACUUUUGGAAUUACUGCUAGUAAAUCUGAACUUGAGAAGUACCUUUCCGAGGAGAAUGAAGAAGAUGGCAGCAAGUUUGACAUUCGUGAGUGGUGGAAGGUCAAUUCUUCUAGAUUUCCAGUAUUGUCACAUUUGGCCCUUGAUGUUUUAGCAAUUCCUAUAUCUACGGUUGCAUCGGAGUCGGCCUUCAGCACUGGUGGUCGUAUUUUAGAUCCAUUCAGGAGCUCCUUAACUCCAUUUAUGGUCCAAGCACUUGUCUGCACACAAGAUUGGUUGAGGGGAUCUAUUGCUGUAAAUGACGAAGAGGACACUGCAGAAUUAACUAAGCUAGAGGAAGCAUUGCUUGAAGAAAUAAAUGGGCUCAAUAUUUCGAAGAACAACUCCAAUAAGGAUAAUUCGGUCAUCAUGGAUGAUCGUACUUCCUAA
This 2184-nucleotide ribosomal RNA is filed under the name Triticum aestivum (bread wheat). RNAcentral describes it as "partial small subunit ribosomal RNA". Lineage: Eukaryota; Viridiplantae; Streptophyta; Magnoliopsida; Poales; Poaceae. The record is from RNAcentral.